This 722-nucleotide long non-coding RNA is filed under the name Callithrix jacchus (white-tufted-ear marmoset). Its description in RNAcentral is "lncRNA (ENSCJAG00000073533.1)". Lineage: Eukaryota; Metazoa; Chordata; Mammalia; Primates; Cebidae. The record is from RNAcentral.
GGAAGCUGGGGACAAACGGAGAAAGAAGAACCAGGGAGGCUUAGAAUCACUGGCCAGAGAGGGCAUUUGGUGACUCUGACAUGGGUCCAUCCUGUUUGGCCACUUUCUUGCCAAGUAUUGCCAUGUAGUAGGCCCUUGGUGACUUCUGUUUUCACCAGCAGCUACGUUCCCUCCUUUCUGUUCUAACCUAAAGACCACAGGCAGACAUCCUGGGCCACAAGAGGGUCCCAGACGGCCCUUCCCAUGGGCUCAAGCUUGAUGACUUGAGUGAAGUUCAGCACCCUUGUGACUACUGGGCACUGGUGACCAGGAGGAGCUGGAUUACUCAUCUGCGUGCCUGCUGGGCAGACACAGGAAGUGAGGACACACCUUUUGUUCCCUCCAGAGGAUGCAGCAACAAGGAGAGACCAGGACCCUCAGCAGACACUGAGCUCGACAGGGCCUUGAUCUUGGACUUGAGAUGGAGUUUCACUCAUCGCCCAGACUGGAACGCAAUGGUGCCAUCUCAGCUCACUGCAACCUCUGCCUCGCGGUUCAAUCAAUUCUCCUGCCUCAGCCUCCUGAGUAGCUGGGAUUACAGGCACUCACCACCAUUCCUGGCUAAUUUUUGUAUUUUUAGUAGAUAUGGUGUUUCGCCAAGUUGGCCAGGCUGGUCUCAGGUGUUUUGCCGAGUUAGCCAGGCUGGUCUCAAACUUCUGACCUCAAGUGAUCUGCCCUCCUAG